Molecule: ribosomal RNA, 483 nt
Filed under: uncultured bacterium
Lineage: Bacteria
Description: partial 16S ribosomal RNA
Rfam family: Bacterial small subunit ribosomal RNA
Source: RNAcentral
GACGAACGCUGGCGGCGUGCUUAACACAUGCAAGUCGAACGCUGAAGCUCAGCUUUUGUUGGGUGGAUGAGUGGCGAACGGGUGAGUAACACGUGAGUAACCUGCCCCCUUCUUGGGGAUAACGCCCGGAAACGGGUGCUAAUACUGGAUAUUCACUGGUCUUCGCAUGGGGGUUGGUGGAAAGGGUUUUUCUGGUGGGGGAUGGGCUCGCGGCCUAUCAGCUUGUUGGUGGGGUGAUGGCCUACCAAGGCUUUGACGGGUAGCCGGCCUGAGAGGGUGACCGGUCACAUUGGGACUGAGAUACGGCCCAGACUCCUACGGGAGGCAGCAGUGGGGAAUAUUGCACAAUGGGCGCAAGCCUGAUGCAGCGACGCCGCGUGAGGGAUGGAGGCCUUCGGGUCGUGAACCUCUUUCGCUCAUGGUCAAGCCGCAACAAUGGUUGUGGUGAGGGUAGUGGGUAAAGAAGCGCCGGCUAACUACGUG